Molecule: ribosomal RNA, 250 nt
Filed under: uncultured bacterium
Lineage: Bacteria
Description: partial 16S ribosomal RNA
Rfam family: Bacterial small subunit ribosomal RNA
Source: RNAcentral
UAGGGAAUAUUGGACAAUGGGCGCAAGCCUGAUCCAGCCAUGCCGCGUGAGUGAAGAAGGCCUUCGGGUUGUAAAGCUCUUUUGUCCGGAAAGAAAAGCAUCCAGUUAAUACCUGGGUGUCCUGACGGUACCGGAAGAAUAAGCACCGGCUAACUUCGUGCCAGCAGCCGCGGUAAUACGAAGGGUGCAAGCGUUACUCGGAAUUACUGGGCGUAAAGCGUGCGUAGGUGGUUUGUUAAGUCUGAUGUGA